RNAcentral lists this ribosomal RNA (253 nucleotides) under uncultured bacterium. RNAcentral describes it as "partial 16S ribosomal RNA". It matches the Rfam family "Bacterial small subunit ribosomal RNA", at positions 524 to 776 of the family's 1533-position model. The record is from RNAcentral.
GACGAACCUUGCAAACGUUAUUCGGAAUCACUGGGCUUAAAGGGUGCGUAGGCUGUGCAGAAAGUUGGGUGUGAAAUACCUCGGCUUAACCGAGGAAUUGCGCCCAAAACUACAGUGCUCGAGGAAGAUAGAGGUGAGCGGAACUUAGGGUGGAGCGGUGAAAUGCGUUGAUAUCCUAAGGAACACCGGUGGCGAAAGCGGCUCACUGGAUCUUAUCUGACGCUGAGGCACGAAAGCCAGGGUAGCAAACGGG